RNAcentral lists this ribosomal RNA (253 nucleotides) under uncultured bacterium. RNAcentral's name for it is "partial 16S ribosomal RNA". It matches the Rfam family "Bacterial small subunit ribosomal RNA", at positions 524 to 776 of the family's 1533-position model. The record is from RNAcentral.
UACGUAGGGUGCAAGCGUUAAUCGGAAUUACUGGGCGUAAAGCGUGCGCAGGCGGUUUUGUAAGUCUGUCGUGAAAUCCCCGGGCUCAACCUGGGAAUUGCGAUGGAGACUGCAAGGCUAGAGUUUGGCAGAGGGGGGUAGAAUUCCACGUGUAGCAGUGAAAUGCGUAGAGAUGUGGAGGAACACCGAUGGCGAAGGCAGCCCCCUGGGUCAAAACUGACGCUCAUGCACGCAAGCGUGGGGAGCAAACAGG